AGUGAACGCUGGCGGUAGGCCUAACACAUGCAAGUCGAACGGCAGCACAGUAAGAGCUUGCUCUUACGAGUGGCGAGUGGCGGACGGGUGAGGAAUACAUCGGAAUCUACUUUUUCGUGGGGGAUAACGUAGGGAAACUUACGCUAAUACCGCAUACGACCUACGGGUGAAAGCAGGGGAUCUUCGGACCUUGCGCGAUUGAAUGAGCCGAUGUCGGAUUAGCUAGUUGGCGGGGUAAAGGCCCACCAAGGCGACGAUCCGUAGCUGGUCUGAGAGGAUGAACGGCCACAUUGGGAAUGAGACACGGCCGAGAGUCAUACGGGAGGCAGCAGUGGGGAAUCUUCCGCGAUGGACGAGAGUCUGACGGAGCAACGCGGCGUGAGUGAUGACGGACUUCGGGUUGUAAAGCUCUGUUAAUCGGGACGAAAGGCCUUCUUGCGAAAAGUGAGAAGGAUUGACGGUACCGGAAUAGAAAGACACGGCUAACUACGUG
Molecule: ribosomal RNA, 493 nt
Filed under: uncultured bacterium
Lineage: Bacteria
Description: partial 16S ribosomal RNA
Rfam family: Bacterial small subunit ribosomal RNA
Source: RNAcentral